UACGUAGGUGGCUAGCGUUGUCCGGAUUUACUGGGCGUAAAGAGCGCGCAGGCGGUCGUUCAAGUCGAGUGUGAAAGCCCCCGGCUCAACUGGGGAGGGUCACUUGAUACUGAUCGACUGGAAGGCAGGAGAGGGAAGCGGAAUUCCCGGUGUAGUGGUGAAAUGCGUAGAUAUCGGGAGGAACACCAGUGGCGAAGGCGGCUUCCUGGCCUGUUCUUGACGCUGAGGCGCGAAAGCUAGGGGAGCAAACGGG
RNAcentral lists this ribosomal RNA (253 nucleotides) under uncultured bacterium. RNAcentral's name for it is "partial 16S ribosomal RNA". It matches the Rfam family "Bacterial small subunit ribosomal RNA", at positions 524 to 776 of the family's 1533-position model. The record is from RNAcentral.